This 71-nucleotide transfer RNA is filed under the name Mus musculus (house mouse). Its description in RNAcentral is "tRNA-Ala". The record is from RNAcentral. Lineage: Eukaryota; Metazoa; Chordata; Mammalia; Rodentia; Muridae.
GAGGGUGUGGCUCAGCGGUAGAGUGCUGGCCUCGCAUGUGUGUAGCCCAGGUUCCAUCCCCAGCAUAUAUA